Small nuclear RNA from Jaculus jaculus (lesser Egyptian jerboa), 107 nucleotides. Lineage: Eukaryota; Metazoa; Chordata; Mammalia; Rodentia; Dipodidae. The record is from Ensembl.
GUGCUUGCUUCAGCGGGAUAUAUACUAUAAUUGGAAUGAUACAGAAAAGAUUAACAUGGCCCCUGCACAAGGAUGACAUGCAGAUUUGUGAAGCGUUCCAUAUUUUU